AGCAGCCGCGGUAAUUCCAGCUCCAAUAGCGUAUAUUAAAGUUGCUGCAGUUAAAAAGCUCGUAGUUGAAUUUCGGGACUAAUAUGUUGGUCGUGCCUCGGUACGUACUGAUAUUUUUGGUUUCUCCCUUCUGACGAACCUUGAUGUCAUUAAUUGGUGUCUUGGGAAAUCAGGACUGUUACUUUGAAAAAUUGAGUGUUUAAAGCAAGCUAACGCUUGAAUACAUUAGCAUAGGAAUAAUGAAAUAGGACGUUCGAUCCUAUUUUGUUGGUUUCUAGGAUUGACGUAAUGAUUAAUAGGGAUAGUUGGGGCAUUAGUAUUCAAUUGUCAGAGGU
RNAcentral lists this ribosomal RNA (335 nucleotides) under uncultured Glomus. Its description in RNAcentral is "SSU rRNA". It matches the Rfam family "Eukaryotic small subunit ribosomal RNA", at positions 569 to 912 of the family's 1831-position model. The record is from RNAcentral. Lineage: Eukaryota; Fungi; Glomeromycota; Glomeromycetes; Glomerales; Glomeraceae.